UGGCGGACGGGUGAGUAACGCGUGGGUAACCUGCCUCAUACAGGGGGAUAACAGUUAGAAAUGACUGCUAAUACCGCAUAAGACCACAGCACCGCAUGGUGUAGGGGUAAAAACUCCGGUGGUACGAGAUGGACCCGCGUCUGAUUAGGUAGUUGGUGGGGUAACGGCCUACCAAGCCGACGAUCAGUAGCCGACCUGAGAGGGUGACCGGCCACAUUGGGACUGAGACACGGCCCAA
RNAcentral lists this ribosomal RNA (238 nucleotides) under uncultured bacterium. RNAcentral describes it as "partial 16S ribosomal RNA". It matches the Rfam family "Bacterial small subunit ribosomal RNA", at positions 96 to 334 of the family's 1533-position model. The record is from RNAcentral.